UCCCCAGGCUGGGGCGGGGCGCAAUGCCUUAACCCCUUUGUAGCUGCGUCCAGGUUCGCGCUUGGGACCCCUCUAUCUCGCCUUCUCCAAGGCUGCGUAAGUCGGUCCCGAGCCCCUCUGCUCGUCUCCUGCUACCCCCCAAGCCCCUUGGGCUCGGUCCCCAGGCUCUGAUCUGUAACAAAUGCGGUGGGACCGCGCCCUCCACCACAUCUUUGGCGACUGGGAGGAGACCCUCGGGUUUGGGGAAGGGGUCCCAGAUGCCGACCCCAGCCCCAUUCCUCUCCCACUCCUGCUCUUCCGGACGCGGCCUCCCAGCGGAGGGCUUGAGACUGCAAGUCUGCAAGGUGAUUUCAGGGAGGACCACUGAAUGUUUUUCUCCUAAGCCUUUGCCCUAGGUGGUAAAAUCAGGAGUGCCUCAAAUGGCCUAAGUGAACAUUGCCCUCACCAAACAAGCCUCCUUAUCAAAUCGACCAGGUGCAAUCUUGACUUAUCUCUGAGUAGCAGGCUUCAGUUCUCUGUCAGCCUGUGGAAUCAUUCAAACAAGCCAAUCACGUUCCCUGCAGGAAUGAUGGGCUCACCUCACCCUCUUGCUGCUACAAAGCCUGUCCUGCCCAGCUUCUGGUUGUACGCUGUAUUUCUGAGUGCGACACCUGGAUGGUCCUGUGUGACCUGUGGUGUCCUCCUUCGCUGAGCUGUGAGGCUAUAGGUGCCCAAUAAACUGCUGUCAAUCUCC
Long non-coding RNA from Felis catus (domestic cat), 733 nucleotides. RefSeq lists it as uncharacterized. The transcript has 3 exons. NCBI's taxonomy places the organism in Eukaryota, Metazoa, Chordata, Mammalia, Carnivora, Felidae. The record is from RefSeq and is a predicted model, not a curated record.